CAGCCUGAUGCAGCCAUGCCGCGUGUAUGAAGAAGGCCUUCGGGUUGUAAAGUACUUUCAGCGGGGAGGAAGGUGUUGAGGUUAAUAACCUCAGCAAUUGACGUUACCCGCAGAAGAAGCACCGGCUAACUCCGUGCCAGCAGCCGCGGUAAUGA
RNAcentral lists this ribosomal RNA (155 nucleotides) under uncultured Enterobacteriaceae bacterium. RNAcentral's name for it is "partial 16S ribosomal RNA". It matches the Rfam family "Bacterial small subunit ribosomal RNA", at positions 379 to 525 of the family's 1533-position model. Lineage: Bacteria; Pseudomonadati; Pseudomonadota; Gammaproteobacteria; Enterobacterales; Enterobacteriaceae. The record is from RNAcentral.